Molecule: ribosomal RNA, 348 nt
Filed under: Triticum aestivum (bread wheat)
Lineage: Eukaryota; Viridiplantae; Streptophyta; Magnoliopsida; Poales; Poaceae
Description: partial small subunit ribosomal RNA
Source: RNAcentral
AUGCUCUCCAUGCUUCUCAUGACGCCAGCGACGGCACUCUUCUUCCUUCGCGCCGCCGGCAGCGAGGUCAAGGAUGAUGUGGAAGAUCGCGUUCGUUGGUGGCCGCUACUCUGGUGGGCGGCUGUAGCGUUGUUCAGUGUGGCGAUGUUGGCGCAACUCAUCGGGGUCGUUCUUCAAAUGUAUGGAUUUCCAGAGGUUUCUUACCUUCUCCGCACCGCGGCUCUGUUGGGCAUGCUCCUACUCGUCACCUUCUUCUGCAUCCGUGCUAAUGUGGCGCUGUGGAGGAUGAAUCCACAAGAGCCGGCUGCAGUUGUUGUCGCAGUAGCUAGAUUGAUGUGUAUAGAGUAG